RNAcentral lists this ribosomal RNA (253 nucleotides) under uncultured bacterium. RNAcentral describes it as "partial 16S ribosomal RNA". It matches the Rfam family "Bacterial small subunit ribosomal RNA", at positions 524 to 776 of the family's 1533-position model. The record is from RNAcentral.
UACGUAGGGGGCGAGCGUUGUCCGGAAUCAUUGGGCGUAAAGGGCGCGUAGGCGGCCUGGCAAGUGGAAGGUGAAAUCCCUCGGCUUAACCGAGGAACUGCCCUCCAAACUGCUUGGCUUGAGUCCGGGAGAGGUGAGUGGAAUUCCCAGUGUAGCGGUGAAAUGCGUAGAUAUUGGGAGGAACACCAGUGGCGAAGGCGGCUCUCUGGACCGUAACUGACGCUGAGGCACGAAAGCGUGGGUAGCAAACAGG